This 730-nucleotide ribosomal RNA is filed under the name uncultured Bacilli bacterium. RNAcentral's name for it is "bacterial SSU rRNA". It matches the Rfam family "Bacterial small subunit ribosomal RNA", at positions 63 to 776 of the family's 1533-position model. Lineage: Bacteria; Bacillati; Bacillota; Bacilli. The record is from RNAcentral.
AGAACGCUGAGGAGAGGAGCUUGCCCUUCUUGGAAGAGUUGCGAACGGGUGAGUAACGCGUAGGUAACCUGCCUUGUAGCGGGGGAUAACUAUUGGAAACGAUAGCUAAUACCGCAUAACAAUGGGUGACCCAUGUCAUUCAUUUGAAAGGGGCAACUGCUCCACUACAAGAUGGACCUGCGUUGUAUUAGCUAGUAGGUGAGGUAACGGCUCACCUAGGCGACGAUACAUAGCCGACCUGAGAGGGUGAUCGGCCACACUGGGACUGAGACACGGCCCAGACUCCUACGGGAGGCAGCAGUAGGGAAUCUUCGGCAAUGGGGGCAACCCUGACCGAGCAACGCCGCGUGAGUGAAGAAGGUUUUCGGAUCGUAAAGCUCUGUUGUAAGUCAAGAACGAGUGUGAGAGUGGAAAGUUCACACUGUGACGGUAGCUUACCAGAAAGGGACGGCUAACUACGUGCCAGCAGCCGCGGUAAUACGUAGGUCCCGAGCGUUGUCCGGAUUUAUUGGGCGUAAAGCGAGCGCAGGCGGUUUGAUAAGUCUGAAGUUAAAGGCUGUGGCUCAACCAUAGUUCGCUUUGGAAACUGUCAAACUUGAGUGCAGAAGGGGAGAGUGGAAUUCCAUGUGUAGCGGUGAAAUGCGUAGAUAUAUGGAGGAACACCGGUGGCGAAAGCGGCUCUCUGGUCUGUAACUGACGCUGAGGCUCGAAAGCGUGGGGAGCGAACAGG